This 468-nucleotide ribosomal RNA is filed under the name uncultured bacterium. RNAcentral describes it as "partial 16S ribosomal RNA". It matches the Rfam family "Bacterial small subunit ribosomal RNA", at positions 28 to 507 of the family's 1533-position model. The record is from RNAcentral.
GACGAACGCUGGCGGCGUGCUUAACACAUGCAAGUCGAACGGAAAGGCCCUGCUUUUGUGGGGUGCUCGAGUGGCGAACGGGUGAGUAACACGUGAGUAACCCGCCCUUGACUUUGGGAUAACUUCAGGAAACUGGGGCUAAUACCGGAUAGGAGCUCCUGCUGCACGGUGGGGGUUGGAAAGUUUCGGCGGUUGGGGAUAGACUCGCGGCUUAUCAGCUUGAUGGUGGGGUAGUGGCUUUCCAAGGGUUUGACGGCUCGGCGGCCUGGGAGGGUGACCGGGCACAAGAGUACUGAGGUACGCACCAGACGCCAAUCGGAGGCAACGGGGGGAAGUAUUGCGCAGUGGGCGGGAGUCUGUUGCAGCGGCGCCGCGUGCGUAAUGACGGCCUUCGGGUUGUGAACCGCUUUCGCCUGAGCCAAGACGUUAUUGACGGUAAUGGGUAAAAAAGCACCGGCUAACUACGUG